UCCAAAAUAUUAGCAGAGAUACAGGUCUGAGAAAAUUGACGUAAGAUAUUAUAACUGGAAGAAGCAAGGACUUUAGGAAGGUUGCAUGACACUACUAGUAUCAAAGAGCUUUGCCUCAGAAAGAAUGGGUUGAUCUUAUCAGCUACGACUAUGUUCUGGUUGCAUCCGCAUAACUUCUGAGGAAGCCUAUCACCAUUUUGUUCCUGGUUUCUUAAGUAAUCGUAUUUUCCUGUUGUCUUUUUAGAAUCAGAUGCCAACCUGGAUAGAAGGUCAAACAUGGGAUCAAGCCAAAACAGGUAUGUGCGGGAACAAGGGGGAGCCUGAAGGAGCAGAGAUGGAGUGACAGUACUAGGCAGACAUGUAGGCGCUGUAAAAACACAUCAACAUAGGGAAAGGUUACACAUUCAUGUAGGUAAAGGAGAUGUUGCACAGCAAUAAAGGCUGUGGGGCUACCCUAUCUUCCUAGUAACAACCCAGAUCUGCCAGACACUGCAUGGCCUAAGGCACGUAAUUUAAAAGCCUCAUCCUUCCCAGCUGUGUACCUGGAAUACCCUAACAUAAGGCCCUGGCAUACUGCAAGACUGUCUGCCCUAUGCAGCUGCAAUGCAACUCCCCCAACAUUAGCAGGUAUUCCAACUGGUAAACUCUUGGAAAGAUGCAGCCAUAAUGUGGAUCUAGGAGCUGCUCAGCUGGUCUCUACUCAUGUGGCAAGGCAAUGCUGGGAAGUGGCCCAAAUAAUAAUAAUCCAGAGUCUUCAGUUCUUACAGUAGGAUGCUGCCCUAAAAUGCAUUGCUUGCUGCUAGUGGAUUCCUACCUGGCAGCAAAGAAGGCAUCAGGAAGUCAUCACAGCAGCAAGAAUCAUACAUUUGUUCUGUUAAUUCACUUAGGAAAAACAGAUACCUCCAAAGAAAUGCAGAUACAUCUAGGAAAAGUUAAGUGGAAGGAACUUCAUUAAUGUACUUUCAGCAGCUCUAUUAAUAAUUUUCUAGAAUUCUUCUAAUUUUUAUGUGGGUGUCUCAGCUCAGCUUUUACAGCGAUGCUAUGAAUCAUCCCAGGUAAAACCAAAGCCAGCAAAUUAUUGUUAACCUAUGAUUUUUCUUUCUUUUCAGAGAUGACAUCAACGUACCAGGAAAAUAAAGUACAAAUGAUCAAUAAACCUUUCGCAAUCAACAGUUA
Pezoporus flaviventris is the source of this 1176-nucleotide long non-coding RNA. RefSeq lists it as uncharacterized. NCBI's taxonomy places the organism in Eukaryota, Metazoa, Chordata, Aves, Psittaciformes, Psittacidae. The record is from RefSeq and is a predicted model, not a curated record. The transcript is spliced from 2 exons.